AGGAGAGAGAGUGAGGAAAGAGAAAGAGAUCAUUGUUUCGCGAAACAACCACCUCAUAAGCUAAAUUGUAAAACUACGAGACAACUUAACAACUAUUGUGCGAGUUAUUGUUGUCAUGCAACUCAUAAUAUUUCUUUUUUCAUAUGCACAAAUUAAGGAAUUAUAUAGCUCUACCAGACAACUUAUAAGGCAACCCAUUGUAUAGGUUGUCUGUUGAGUCGUCUCAAGAUUACGUGUUAAUACAUGAGACCGACUAUUAGAUGACACCAAUAUAUUUGUCCUUAGGCAUGCUUCUGUU
RNAcentral lists this long non-coding RNA (298 nucleotides) under Setaria viridis. RNAcentral describes it as "long non-coding RNA (SVIR_LNC004035)". Lineage: Eukaryota; Viridiplantae; Streptophyta; Magnoliopsida; Poales; Poaceae. The record is from RNAcentral.